RNAcentral lists this long non-coding RNA (460 nucleotides) under Notechis scutatus (mainland tiger snake). Its description in RNAcentral is "lncRNA (ENSNSUG00000014075.1)". The record is from RNAcentral. Lineage: Eukaryota; Metazoa; Chordata; Lepidosauria; Squamata; Elapidae.
CUGAAGAUUAUACCUAACACCAGGGGAUGGCUUAUUAAUCAUACUUCUAGAAGAAUUUAAAAAUGAUUUCUCCAAUGGCUCCGAGACAACCUCUCCUGUAAAAUAUUUUAUAAAUAAUCAGCCCAGAUUCAUGUCUUUGCUAAUUGACAAAACCACCUCAGAAUUCAGAUGUUAAGGAGAGGAGAAAAGGGGAGAGACAGGGAAGGUAUGGAUUUCCAGCCAAAGACAGAAGACAGGGAGAAUCUUCUACCAACACCGUGGCUGGGAGCAGAGGGAGGAAGAACCAAAGGCUAGAUUGUAACUGUGGGAAUCACAAAAUUGUGGGCGACGGUGUUAAGGCGAGGGAAACACUUGAAGUACCCAGUCACCUAGCUUCGUUGGAAGGCACGAAAGAUUGACAAUCUAUUAUGAAUGCUUCAGAUGCCAGAUAAAUAUUUCAAUGCAAAUGAAUAAAGGAUGG